UGAGAGAAGACCAGACAAAGAAGGGAUGAUGUCGGUGAAACCCGUGAAUGCAACCUUCCUCAAGGGGUUCUGUGGAGCUACUUACACCUGCACACGGGGUAUGCAACAAGGACCAGAAGAAAUCUAUGUUUACAAGUGACCAAGACAAAUAUGAAAAAACAAAGAAUUCACUCUGAGUUCAAAGGAAGAAAGAUCAAGGCCCCUCGUAGCACAAAAAAAAAAAAAAAAUUAUAAAGGAAGAGAAAUGCAGAUGCUGGCCUGUGGAUUUCUUUGGGGACACACCCUGACUUUUCCCUUUCUAUACCAAGGAUCCAGGAAAGCUUCCUUUUAGUGUUGUAGGCUGCUUCCUUUAAGGAAAAUGGUUAUUAAGUGAGAAGGUAGGCAUCUGACAGGCAUUAAUUAGAUUGGAAUUGUAGUACCUCUAAAAUAAUUUACCCAGGCUAAAAAGUUUAGCUAGUUAGUAUUCAUUUAUCGUUUAAGAGAACUCAAUCACAACCCCAUGCUCGUAUUAAUGGAUGCAUUGAGACACCAUGGCGUUAAACCACAGAUUCACAACUUGAAAGACUAUGACUCUGCAUUCCUGCACCCCUUUGUUUUCACAGUUCCCACCCACUGACCAGUUAAGAGACUGUUUGUUUCGCUAGCAUUUAGUCCAGUGAUUUAUUGUCAAAUUCAUUUCUCGUCAAGUACUAUUGAGAUUAAAACUUUUUUCUUUGAAAUUAAAUACAAAAUUACUUCAAACUAUAGUCAUCGCGGGCUGAAAGAACUCCAAAGGACAAAGAGCAAUGUUUGCUUUCUCACUCAGAGCACAAGCCAGCAGGAGAAGCAAGCAUGGGAUCACCUACCUGUCAU
Non-coding RNA from Peromyscus maniculatus bairdii (prairie deer mouse), 852 nucleotides. The record is from RefSeq and is a predicted model, not a curated record. NCBI's taxonomy places the organism in Eukaryota, Metazoa, Chordata, Mammalia, Rodentia, Cricetidae.